GACAGAGGUGCCAAGCGUUAGGCGGAAUCACUGGGCUUAAAGCGUGUGUAGGCGGACUUGUAAGUACCUUGUGAAAUCCCACGGCUCACCCGUGGAACGGCUGGGUAGACUGGCGGUCUUGGGCCACCUAGGGGCAGAUGGAACAGACGGUGGAGCGGUGAAAUGCGUAGAUAUCGUCUGGAACGCCAAAGGUGAAAACAGUCUGCUGGGGGUGUGCCGACGCUGAGACACGAAAGCCAGGGGAGCGAACGGG
This 253-nucleotide ribosomal RNA is filed under the name uncultured bacterium. Its description in RNAcentral is "partial 16S ribosomal RNA". It matches the Rfam family "Bacterial small subunit ribosomal RNA", at positions 524 to 776 of the family's 1533-position model. The record is from RNAcentral.